This 1348-nucleotide ribosomal RNA is filed under the name uncultured archaeon. RNAcentral describes it as "bacterial SSU rRNA". It matches the Rfam family "Archaeal small subunit ribosomal RNA", at positions 21 to 1346 of the family's 1478-position model. The record is from RNAcentral.
GGAUACUGCUAUCGGGAUACGGCUAAGUCAUGCCAGUCACUGGAGUAAUCCAGGGCAUACCGCUGAGUAACACGUAGUUAAUCUGCCUUUAGGUCAGGAAUAACCUCGGGAAACUGAGGGUAAUACCUGAUAGGGGAUUUUGUCUGGAACGAUAUUUCCCUGAAAGGCAACGCCUAAAGAUGAGACUGCGGUGGAUUAGGUUGAUGUUAGGGCAACGGCCUAACAUGCCUGUAAUCUAUAGGGGCCAUGAGAGUGGGAGCCCCCAGAUGGGUUCUGAGACAGCAACCCAGGCCCUACGGGGCGCAGCAGAUACGAAAACUUCGCAAUGCACGAAAGUGUGACGAGGGAAUCCCGAGUGCCAGCACACAGUGUUGGCUUUUGCCAAGCGUAAAUAACUUGGCGAAUAAGUGGUGGGUAAUACAGUUGCCAGCCGCCGCGGUAAUAACUGAGCCACAAGUAGUAUCCGCUUAUAUUGGGUUUAAAGCGUUCGUAGCCGGACGGAUAAGUUCCCUGUGAAAUCCCAUGGAAAACUGUGGGGCGUGCGGAGAAUACUAUUCGUCUUGAGACCGGGGGGAGAUAGAGGUACUCCUAGGGUAGGGGUUAAAUGUAUGUUAGCAUUCAAUUGUUAGCUUACUAACAAUCCUGUAAUCCUGGGGGGACCACCUGUGGCGUAGGCGUCUAUCUAAAACGGAUCUGACGGUGAGGAACGAAAGCUAGGGGAGCGACCCGGAUUAGAUACCCGGUUAGUCCUAGCCGUAAACGAUGCUCGCUAGGUAUUGGGCUUUCCACGAGAUUGUCCAGUGCCACAGGGUAACCGUUAAGCGAGCCACCUGGGAAGUACGGUCGCAAGGCUAAAACUUAAAGGAAUUGGCGGGGGAGCACCACAAGGGGUGCGGCCUGCGGUUUAAUUGGAUUCCACUCCGGAAACCUUACCAGAGGCGACAGCAGAAUGAGGGUCAGUCUGAAGGGCUUACCUAACGCGCUGAGAGGUGUUGCAUGGCCGACGUCAGCUCGUGCUGUGAAGUGUCCAGUUAAGUCUGGUAACGAGCGAGACCCGUGCCAUAUGUUGCUAUUUUUCCCUCCGGGGGAAAAGCACUCAUAUGGGACCGCCCGCGAUAAGUGGGAGGAAGGUGCGGGCUACGUUAGGUCAGUAUGGCCUGAAUCUUCUGGGCUACACGCGGGCAACAAUGGCAAGGACAAUGAGAUGCGACUCCGAAAGGAGAAGCAAACCCCCUAAACCUUGUCUUAGUACUGAUCGAGGAUUGCAACUCAUCCUCGUGAUGCCGGAAUCCCUAGUAAUCGAAGGUUAUCAAACUUCGGUGAAUACGUCCCUGCUCCUUGCACACAC